Molecule: long non-coding RNA, 1194 nt
Organism: Oncorhynchus nerka (sockeye salmon)
Lineage: Eukaryota; Metazoa; Chordata; Actinopteri; Salmoniformes; Salmonidae
Exons: 3
Source: RefSeq, a predicted model, not a curated record
AGAAAAGCCAGUAGUAUUUCAGACCUCAAGAUUUUAUUUAUCAACUGGUCAAAAUGAAGGGAUUGAUUGUCGUCGUGGUUUUGGUGACACUGAUGAUUUCAACUGAUGCGUUCCUGAUGCACAGCAGACAACGUUGCCUCUGUCUGAAAACACGGGACCGUGUGAAUUCCAGUAACAUAGUCCAAUCCACCGUUCAUCCGAGGAGUGCAAUGUGUGACCAUGUGGAGAUAGUGGUGCAGUUGAAAAUACCAUCAAAAUAUAUCUGCCUGAAUCCAGACUCUAAAAUGGGCAAGAGAAUACAGACUAAGUGGAACCUGAAGAACUGAGCCAAACAUGAUAACACAAACUAUGUGAUGAUGAUAUAACUGACUGUACUGACCAAAAAGUACAUGUAACUAUGUUGUCUUUCUCUGCAGUUUCAGGUAACUUUACUUGUUCCACUGACAAUGCAAUUAGAAAGUGUAUUUCAGAGCUACAGGGUAAUGCACAAAGCUCGUAACAACAUUCUAGAACAUCUCUGCUAUGACAAGGCUGUAACAACAUUCUAGAACAUCUCUGCUAUGACAAGCCUGUAACAACAUUCUAGAACAUCUCUGCUAUGACAAGCCUGUAACAACAUUCUAGGACAUCUCUGCUAUGACAAGCCUGUAACAACAUUCUAGAACAUCUCUGCUAUGACAAGCCUGUAACAACAUUCUAGAACAUCUCUGCUAUGACAAGCCUGUAACAACAUUCUAGAACAUCUCUGCUAUGACAAGCCUGUAACAACAUUCUAGAACAUGUAAUGGGAAUUGAAAUGUUUGUGCUUUUCUUAUAACUAAUUUCUGUGUUCAUGCAAGUGACUGACUGAACCAAUUCUCACUAUCAGUAUCUGCAAUUUGGCAGUACGCCCAGACCUUGUUUUGAGAAUGAAAGAUAUCUCCGUUUCAAGGUCUCAGCGCAGAGAGAAGAAGCCUCGUGAGGUAUUGGUCUGUCACAUGUUAAGAACCAGCAUUUGUCAUUCACAUGAAUGAAACAAAACGGUAAUGAUUGAUUAAUUAUGCUAAAUCAUGCACAUAUAAUUUGUCUGUGUAUAGCUGUAAGAAAACUGCUGGGACUGCCCCAGGAGAGCUCCUGAUUGACAUGUGUACUAUGGUGCAUUGAUUUGGUUGGAACUUCUCCAGCUUGCUGUCAAUAAACAAUGAUUAAUAUUAA